CUGCUGCCUUCCGUAGGAGUUUGGACCGUGUCUCAGUUCCAAUGUGGGGGACCUUCCUCUCAGAACCCCUACGCAUCGUCGGCUUGGUGGGCCGUUGCCCCACCAACUACCUAAUGCGCCGCAUGCCCAUCCAUGACCGGGGUCGCCCCCUUUGACCGGCAGGGGAUGUCCCCUCCCGGCAUUAUGUUGUAUUAGGCGGGAUUUCUCCCGGUUAUCCAUCUGUCACGGCCAGGUUGCAUACGUGUUACUCACCCGUGCGCCGGUCGCCGG
This 270-nucleotide ribosomal RNA is filed under the name uncultured bacterium. RNAcentral describes it as "partial 16S ribosomal RNA". The record is from RNAcentral.